GUGGGGAAUAUUGGACAAUGGGCGAAAGCCUGAUCCAGCCAUGCCGCGUGUGUGAAGAAGGUCUUCGGAUUGUAAAGCACUUUAAGUUGGGAGGAAGGGCAGUAAGUUAAUACCUUGCUGUUUUGACGUUACCGACAGAAUAAGCACCGGCUAACUUCGUGCCAGCAGCCGCGGUAAUACGAAGGGUGCAAGCGUUAAUCGGAAUUACUGGGCGUAAAGCGCGCGUAGGUGGUUUUGUAAGUUGGAGGUGAAAUCCCCGGGCUCAACCUGGAAACUGCAUCCAAAACUGCAUGACUAGAGUACGGUAGAGGGUAGUGGAAUUUCCUGUGUAGCGGUGAAAUGCGUAGAUAUAGGAAGGAACACCAGUGGCGAAGGCGACUACCUGGACUGAUACUGACACUGAGGUGCGAAAGCGUGGGGAGCAAACAGGAUUAGAUACCCUAGUAGUCC
This 450-nucleotide ribosomal RNA is filed under the name uncultured bacterium. RNAcentral's name for it is "partial 16S ribosomal RNA". It matches the Rfam family "Bacterial small subunit ribosomal RNA", at positions 354 to 796 of the family's 1533-position model. The record is from RNAcentral.